GAUGAACGCUGGCGGUAUGCUUAACACAUGCAAGUCGAACGGACUCUUCGGAGUUAGUGGCGGACGGGUGAGUAACGCGUGAGAAUCUGGCUUUGGGUUCGGGACAACCACUGGAAACGGUGGCUAAUACCGGAUGUGCCGAGAGGUAAAAGAGAAAUUGCCUGAAGAUGGGCUCGCGUCUGAUUAGCUAGUUGGUGAGGUAAAGGCUCACCAAGGCAGCGAUCAGUAGCUGGUCUGAGAGGAUGACCAGCCACACUGGGACUGAGACACGGCCCAGACUCCUACGGGAGGCAGCAGUGGGGAAUUUUCCGCAAUGGGCGAAAGCCUGACGGAGCAAUACCGCGUGAGAGAAGAAGGCUCUUGGGUUGUAAACCUCUUUUCUUAGGGAAGAACAAAAUGACGGUACCUAAGGAAUCAGCAUCGGCUAACUCCGUG
Molecule: ribosomal RNA, 435 nt
Filed under: uncultured bacterium
Lineage: Bacteria
Description: partial 16S ribosomal RNA
Rfam family: Bacterial small subunit ribosomal RNA
Source: RNAcentral